CCUGCAGACUGGCUGCAUCAACCGGUCUCUGGGAGAUCUUAUCGCCUGCUCUCAGCUCUUCUGAGGUCACGUUGUUGUGCCACGGUUUAAUAUUUAGUCUGGGUAAACAACACGACAGGAAAAUAUAUCCAUGAGUAUCAGAAAUGCUCUUCCAUAAAUCUUGAUGGAGUCUCAGCAAACACACACAUGCUCUCUGUAUAAUAUUACUGUAGAGUCUGACUGAGCUCCAGGGCUCAUGUUAGGUCUGUGUUGUCUUGUUUCCUGUCGACAGGAGGCAGUACAGCAUCUCUGCUGUGUGUAUAAGAGUACAGCUCAAUAUGAGAGCAGAAAACAGGUUUCCUGAUGGGAGGCUUUCAGUAGAGCAGCACACAGUGAACACACAGAGCAACAGAACUGUUCUUAGAGCCACAAAACACAAGAUGAUCAUCGUCUUCUGCACAGCCCUUCAUCUCAUACUGGUUUCAGGUUCCUCUCUGAGUGACAAAGUCCAGCAGACUCCAGCUAACAUGUACAGAAACCCUGGAGAAGAAGCAGUCAUCAGAUAUACACCUGAACAUCAGCAGGAGAGGACUCUUUAAACAGGUGGAGCUGGAGCUGCAUGGAUGCAGAACUAUGGGUUAUGAUGAAGCCGGUUUACAGAGGGGGGGGCAUUAAUGAGAGUCUGCAGGGAUCUGUUGCUCAGUCGAGUGUCUGCAGCGUGCUGGGAUCAUUCAGAGAGGAGAACAUGCCAACAUUACUCUUUUUAUCAUGGAUCAUUGGUGUCUGUCUCAGUGUUGAAGUGAAGCAGUCCCCUGCAGAGCUCCUGAGGAGACCAGGAGACAGAGUGCAGCUGGUCUGCAGCCAUGAGAAGACGGACUACACGUACAUGCAGUGGUACCAGCAACCCCCCGGGGAGCGAGCUCUGAAACGCAUCGGACAUUUGAACUACGACAGCAAGGACUACGAGGAGCCUUUCAAAAAACAUUUUGAACUUUCUGGAGACCUGAGUGGAGAGAAAGCGAAGAACGCCUCUCUGUUUAUAGACAGGCUGAAGGCAGAGGAGCACAGUGCUGUGUAUUACUGUGCAGCCAGCUACGCACACUGACUGCACACCCCCUCUGCCCAUACAAAAACUACUGUUUCUGUUGGGAGUAACUAAAGUAAGAGCGGGAAUAAAUACACUCCUCCAUGGAUGGAUUAUAAAAGCUUUGUUAAUAAGCUAGAUAUUGCUCCAGUGAUCCUAAACAUCCAAACCCUCUGUGCAAAUCAGCCUUCAGAUCUACUUUCAAAACA
Molecule: non-coding RNA, 1272 nt
Organism: Eleginops maclovinus (Patagonian blennie)
Lineage: Eukaryota; Metazoa; Chordata; Actinopteri; Perciformes; Eleginopidae
Source: the annotation of a RefSeq genome assembly